Molecule: small nucleolar RNA, 136 nt
Organism: Malurus cyaneus samueli
Lineage: Eukaryota; Metazoa; Chordata; Aves; Passeriformes; Maluridae
Source: Ensembl
UUGUGAACUUGAUCACUAGCUCUAUGUGAUGUUGCAGAAGAGAGGAGAACAGGUUUACCAAAAUAAACUUGGUCAUAGAGCUGUAUAAGCCUUAGAAAUCCAAUUACUUGGUUGUUAAUUCUAUGCCAUCAUAAGG